CUGUUUAUAACAACCACACAUCUACCAGUCUCCCAUUUCCAUUGCCAUAACUCUGACGUGUCCCAUUUCUACCCCUUCACACUUUCCACCUCUUAUAUUUUGUGUAUUCAGCCCCUCGUUCUGCAAACCAGGACCUGCUCAGAGCAAGGAUCUUCCUAACGUGCUGUAUUCAUACGUACCAUGAACAAGUAUGCAGAAAGGGGUACCUCCCGCAGUGAAUUCACAGUGACAGCUUUGUGACAGUGCCUGUUGUAGAGACAUCUAUACGCUGAAGGUGUCAGAGGUAAUGACAAUUCUGCUCUGUCUGAGCAUUCAUGGACAUGUGAAUUGGGGCAACAAGCAGAGACAAGAGACUGGAGAGCAGCACAGAAGUUCCUGAGCUAAAAGAGCCAAAAAAUGGAAAGUGUAAAGACCAGUAUCGAUCAAGCAGACUGAGUCAGAAUCUGCUCAUGAAAUGUGUUUGCUUGCUAAUAAAUCUUGCGACGAUACUUUCUCCAUCCCUUCUGUAGUAGAUAGCUGUGCUACUGCUUAUCAAAGAAUGAGAUAAAGAAAACAGCAAAGAGCAUGAGCAUGCACUCAGUGAAGACAGUAUUCUCUUGAGAGACAGUUGUCUGGGUAACAGCCUUGUUCCCGGAAUUAUUUGUGCAUUUUUAGCCAUUUUUCAGUACAAUAUAGUGGUGUGGACCACAGUUCAGGACAACCCUCUCCCAAAAGAUCUUCUUUUAUCUUCACAGUACUGGUUUAUAUUAAUUUGUUCAUAAAUGCUGUAUCAAUCAGCAGCUCAAAAUGUCAUAGUCUUGUUCAAUGAAAUCAGUGAAAGCCAUUGUGACUACUAUGAUUUGUGCAGCAUCCAGUGCAGUGAAUGUGCUUCAGGUAUGACAGACCUUCACUGACAUGGUGAGAGGAACAUCUUGCUUCCAAGAUCUCAAAUGGCUUCAGCAGAUGUGCUGAGAAAUUCAGUUCUGAAACAAACACCAAGCAGAGGCCAGUGAUGACAGAUUCCAGCUCCAAGCCAUGCAGGAUAAAAAGUAGGCAGAAUUGAGGCUGAAUAACACAGCAGAAGCAAAAGUCAUGCAGGACAGUCCCA
Molecule: long non-coding RNA, 1087 nt
Organism: Cygnus olor (mute swan)
Lineage: Eukaryota; Metazoa; Chordata; Aves; Anseriformes; Anatidae
Exons: 3
Source: RefSeq, a predicted model, not a curated record